Molecule: ribosomal RNA, 508 nt
Filed under: uncultured bacterium
Lineage: Bacteria
Description: partial 16S ribosomal RNA
Rfam family: Bacterial small subunit ribosomal RNA
Source: RNAcentral
GACGAACGCUGGCGGCGUGCCUAAUACAUGCAAGUCGAACGCUUCUUUCCUCCCUAGUGCCUCUACUCAAGUUGCAAGAGGAUGGGUGGACCGGAGAGUAACACGUUGGUAACCUACCCAUCCGAUGGGGAUAACACUUUGAUACCGCUGCUAAUACCGCAUUACAGUUUAUGCCGUAUAGCAUAAGAGUGACAGGCGCAUUCGGGUGUCGCUGGUGGAUUGACCCGCGGUGCAUUAGCUUGGUGGUGGGGUAACGGCUCCCCAAGGCAACGUUGCAUAGCGACCCGAAGAGGGUGAUCGGCCACACGGGGACUGGGACACGGCCCAGACUCUUACGGAAGGCAGCAGAGGGGAAUCUCCGGCAAGGGAGGAAAGUCGGACCGAGCAACGCCGCGUGGGUAAAAAGGGUUUUCGGAUCGUAAACCUCUUUUGUUAGGGAAGAACAAGGUCGGAAGGAACAGAACAUCCUCUGACGGUAUCUAACCAGAAAGACACGGCUAACUACGUG